AAAAGAUCACAAAGUCCACUUCUGAUAGAUGUGGUAAAUACUCUAGAUAGAUCAGUGGUGGCUAAAUUAGUUGAAGAUUUAAAUUCGUCACUUUCAAGUAAUCAGUUAACGGUUAAACUUCUGUAUCAAACAGAACUGGAUUUAAGUAAAAAGAUUAUGAUAUUAUUGAUGACAAUUGCACUCAAUAUGACAUUUAAACAAAGAAAGCCUGGCAUAAACCUAAAAUGUUCGAUCUGUAGUAAAUUUUCUAAGGGAACAAUAUUAAUUAUGUCUGCUCUUAUUUUAACAUUAAUGGCGUUGGUAGCUAUACUUAUCGCUAAAGAAUGGCUGUAAGAUUGAAUAAUCUUGAAACAGAAGAAUAUUUACAUAAAUUCGAUGUAUUUGGGG
Molecule: long non-coding RNA, 387 nt
Organism: Mytilus trossulus (common blue mussel)
Lineage: Eukaryota; Metazoa; Mollusca; Bivalvia; Mytilida; Mytilidae
Exons: 3
Source: RefSeq, a predicted model, not a curated record